UACGUAGGCAGCAAGCGUUGUUCGGAAUUACUGGGCGUAAAGGGUGCGUAGGCGGCUUUUUAAGUUUGUUGUGAAAUCUCCCGGCUCAACUGGGAGGGUGCGGCGAAUACUGAGAAGCUAGAGUGUGGGAGAGGAAAGUGGAAUUCCUGGUGUAGCGGUGAAAUGCGUAGAUAUCAGGAGGAACACCGGUGGUGUAAACGGCUUUCUGGACCAUAACUGACGCUGAGGCACGAAAGCGUGGGUAGCAAACAGG
This 253-nucleotide ribosomal RNA is filed under the name uncultured bacterium. Its description in RNAcentral is "partial 16S ribosomal RNA". It matches the Rfam family "Bacterial small subunit ribosomal RNA", at positions 524 to 776 of the family's 1533-position model. The record is from RNAcentral.